GGCCUGAUAGCACAAUGGUUAGUGUGUCUGCAUUCGCUCAUGUAGAGGCCGAGAACAUUCUGCAGAAGAUCCCUGUUCAAUUCAGGGUUGGGCCA
Non-coding RNA from Mycena rosella, 95 nucleotides. The record is from the annotation of a GenBank genome assembly. Lineage: Eukaryota; Fungi; Basidiomycota; Agaricomycetes; Agaricales; Mycenaceae.